UCCCCUUCGGGGGACAGAGUGACAGGUGGUGCAUGGUUGUCGUCAGCUCGUGUCGUGAGAUGUUGGGUUAAGUCCCGCAACGAGCGCAACCCUUGAUCUUAGUUGCCAGCAUUUAGUUGGGCACUCUAAGGUGACUGCCGGUGACAAACCGGAGGAAGGUGGGGAUGACGUCAAAUCAUCAUGCCCCUUAUGACCUGGGCUACACACGUGCUACAAUGGAUGGUACAAAGGGCUGCAAGACCGCGAGGUCAAGCCAAUCCCAUAAAACCAUUCUCAGUUCGGAUUGUAGGCUGCAACUCGCCUACAUGAAGCUGGAAUCGCUAGUAAUCGCGGAUCAGCAUGCCGCGGUGAAUACGUUCCCGGGCCUUGUACACACCGCCCGUCACACCACGAGAGUUUGUAACACCC
RNAcentral lists this ribosomal RNA (408 nucleotides) under Priestia megaterium. Its description in RNAcentral is "bacterial SSU rRNA". It matches the Rfam family "Bacterial small subunit ribosomal RNA", at positions 1014 to 1422 of the family's 1533-position model. The record is from RNAcentral. Lineage: Bacteria; Bacillati; Bacillota; Bacilli; Caryophanales; Bacillaceae.